This 350-nucleotide RNase P RNA is filed under the name pig gut metagenome. Its description in RNAcentral is "Bacterial RNase P class A". It matches the Rfam family "Bacterial RNase P class A". From Rfam's summary of the family: Ribonuclease P (RNase P) is a ubiquitous endoribonuclease, found in archaea, bacteria and eukarya as well as chloroplasts and mitochondria. The record is from RNAcentral.
AGGAUCGGGCGAUCGCGGUGCGCCUUUGUGCGUACUGAGGAAAGUCCGGGCUUCACGGAAACACGAUACCGGAUAACGUCCGGCUGGGGCAACCCAAGGGAAAGCGCAGCAGAAAAAAUUCCGCCGAUGUCUUCGGACAGGCAAGGUUGAAAUGGUGCGGUAAGAGCGCACCGCUUUUCCGGCAACGGAAAAGGCACGGCAAGCCCUAUCGGAAGCAAGACCAAAAAAGGCAUACUUUUCGUAUCGCGGGAUGUUUCCGUCCCCGCCAGAGGUAGGUCGCUAAAGACGUUUGGCAACAACCGUCGCAGAUGAAUGAUCGCCGAUCACAGAACCCGGCUUACAGAUCGUCC